Molecule: microRNA precursor, 100 nt
Filed under: Marmota monax (woodchuck)
Lineage: Eukaryota; Metazoa; Chordata; Mammalia; Rodentia; Sciuridae
Source: RNAcentral
UGUAGAAUUGCUGGUUCAUAUGGUAAUUCUGUUUAACUUUUAGAGGAGUCUUCAAACUGUUUCCAGAGCAGCAACACCAUUUUACAUUCCCAUCAGCAAU